UACGGGGGGAGCAAGCGUUGUUCGGAUUUACUGGGCGUAAAGGGCGCGUAGGCGGCGCAACAAGUCACUUGUGAAAUCUCCGGGCUUAACCCGGAGCGGUCAAGUGAUACUGUCGUGCUAGAGUGCGGAAGGGGCUACUGGAAUUCUCGGUGUAGCGGUGAAAUGCGUAGAUAUCGAGAGGAACACCGGCGGCGAAAGCGGCGCACUGGACCACAACUGACGCUGAGGCGCGAAAGCUAGGGGAGCAAACAGG
Molecule: ribosomal RNA, 253 nt
Filed under: uncultured bacterium
Lineage: Bacteria
Description: partial 16S ribosomal RNA
Rfam family: Bacterial small subunit ribosomal RNA
Source: RNAcentral